GGGGUUUCUCCAGGUUGGCCAGGCUAGUCUUCAAUCUCCAAAAGUGAUGUGCCCGCCUCAGCCUCCCAAAGUGCUGGCACUACAGGUGUGAGCCACCACGCCUGGCCACAGUUGUUAAUUUCAUUUACUAUUCACUCUGUAUUCAAAUUUCCCCAACAUACUUAAAAUAUGUUCAUUGUUUCUCCCCCACUAGGACGAAAAGUGUCUGUCGUGUCCCUUGCCAUAUCCCACACCCUAUGACGGUGACUGGUGCCUGACACUCACCAGAAGUACAUAAAUGUUUUUAUCCUUGUAUGGAUUCCUAACUCGUGAGGUUGUUGGGAGCAGAAGCUCAAUAAAU
This 340-nucleotide long non-coding RNA is filed under the name Homo sapiens (human). RNAcentral describes it as "HSALNT0261265". The record is from RNAcentral. Lineage: Eukaryota; Metazoa; Chordata; Mammalia; Primates; Hominidae.